This 468-nucleotide ribosomal RNA is filed under the name Pseudomonas sp. AR1(12). Its description in RNAcentral is "bacterial SSU rRNA". It matches the Rfam family "Bacterial small subunit ribosomal RNA", at positions 53 to 516 of the family's 1533-position model. Lineage: Bacteria; Pseudomonadati; Pseudomonadota; Gammaproteobacteria; Pseudomonadales; Pseudomonadaceae. The record is from RNAcentral.
AAAUGCAAGUCGAGCGGAUGAGAAGAGCUUGCUCUUCGAUUCAGCGGCGGACGGGUGAGUAAUGCCUAGGAAUCUGCCUGGUAGUGGGGGACAACGUUUCGAAAGGAACGCUAAUACCGCAUACGUCCUACGGGAGAAAGCAGGGGACCUUCGGGCCUUGCGCUAUCAGAUGAGCCUAGGUCGGAUUAGCUAGUUGGUGAGGUAAUGGCUCACCAAGGCGACGAUCCGUAACUGGUCUGAGAGGAUGAUCAGUCACACUGGAACUGAGACACGGUCCAGACUCCUACGGGAGGCAGCAGUGGGGAAUAUUGGACAAUGGGCGAAAGCCUGAUCCAGCCAUGCCGCGUGUGUGAAGAAGGUCUUCGGAUUGUAAAGCACUUUAAGUUGGGAGGAAGGGCAUUAACCUAAUACGUUAGUGUUUUGACGUUACCGACAGAAUAAGCACCGGCUAACUCUGUGCCAGCAGCC